CCUACGGGAGGCAGCAGCAAGGAAUCUUGCGCAAUGGGCGAAAGCCUGACGCAGCAACGCCGCGUGGGGGAUGAAGGCCUUCGGGUUGUAAACCCCUUUUGUUAGGGAAGAAUUCUGACGGUACCUAACGAAUAAGCCUCGGCUAACUACGUGCCAGCAGCCGCGGUAAUACGUAGGAGGCGAGCGUUGUCCGGAUUUACUGGGCGUAAAGAGCGCGCGGGCGGCCUGAGAAGUCUUGUGUGAAAUCUCCCGGCUUAACGGGGAGGGGUCAUGAGAUACUCUUGGGCUUGAGGGAAGAAGAGGAGGGUGGAAUUCCCGGUGGAGGGGUGAAAUGCGUAGAUAUCGGGAGGACCACCGGUGGCGAAGGCGGCCCUCUGGGCUUCCCCUGACGCUGAGGCGCGAAAGCGGGGGGAGCAAACCGGAUUAGAUACCCCUGUAGU
Molecule: ribosomal RNA, 440 nt
Filed under: uncultured Chloroflexota bacterium
Lineage: Bacteria; Bacillati; Chloroflexota
Description: uncultured Chloroflexi bacterium partial 16S ribosomal RNA
Rfam family: Bacterial small subunit ribosomal RNA
Source: RNAcentral